GUGGGGAAUCUUAGACAAUGGGGGAAACCCUGAUCUAGCCAUGCCGCGUGAGCGAUGAAGGCCUUAGGGUUGUAAAGCUCUUUCAGCUGGGAAGAUAAUGACUGUACCAGCAGAAGAAGCCCCGGCUAACUCCGUGCCAGCAGCCGCGGUAAUACGGAGGGGGCUAGCGUUGUUCGGAAUUACUGGGCGUAAAGCGCACGUAGGCGGACCGGAAAGUCAGAGGUGAAAUCCCAGGGCUCAACCUUGAACUGCCUUUGAAACUCCUGGUCUUGAGGUAGAGAGAGGUGAGUGGAAUUCCGAGUGUAGAGGUGAAAUUCGUAGAUAUUCGGAGGAACACCAGUGGCGAAGGCGGCUCACUGGCUCGAUACUGACGCUGAGGUGCGAAAGCGUGGGGAGCAAACAGGAUUAGAUACCCGGGUAGUCC
RNAcentral lists this ribosomal RNA (424 nucleotides) under uncultured bacterium. Its description in RNAcentral is "partial 16S ribosomal RNA". It matches the Rfam family "Bacterial small subunit ribosomal RNA", at positions 354 to 796 of the family's 1533-position model. The record is from RNAcentral.